This 83-nucleotide transfer RNA is filed under the name Cellulomonas composti. RNAcentral's name for it is "tRNA-Ser". The record is from RNAcentral. Lineage: Bacteria; Bacillati; Actinomycetota; Actinomycetes; Micrococcales; Cellulomonadaceae.
GCGCAUUCGCUCCCGGACCUGAGGGUCGGAGAGCUCGAACCUCUCGAGCGAAGAGGUUGACAGUUCGGCGCCGUCAAUGCGCU